RNAcentral lists this ribosomal RNA (245 nucleotides) under uncultured archaeon. RNAcentral describes it as "partial 16S ribosomal RNA". It matches the Rfam family "Archaeal small subunit ribosomal RNA", at positions 474 to 718 of the family's 1478-position model. The record is from RNAcentral.
CACCAGCGCCCCGAGUGGGGAUCGCGAUUAUUGGGCCUAAAGCGUUCGUAGCAGGUUCUGUAAAUCCUUUGUGAAAUGGGCAGGCUUAACCUGUCCACGUGCAGAGGAGACUGCAGGACUCGAGAUCGGGAGAGGUCAGAAGUAUUCUUUGGGUACCGGUAAAAUGGGUUAAUCCAGAGAGGACUACCAAUGGCGAAGGCAUCUGACUAGAACGAUUCUGACUGUGAGGAACGAAAGCUAGGGGA